Molecule: ribosomal RNA, 239 nt
Filed under: Vibrio cholerae
Lineage: Bacteria; Pseudomonadati; Pseudomonadota; Gammaproteobacteria; Vibrionales; Vibrionaceae
Also listed under: 1 other name
Description: partial 23S ribosomal RNA
Rfam family: Bacterial large subunit ribosomal RNA
Source: RNAcentral
CCGGAGUGGACGAACCUCUGGUGUUCGGGUUGUGUCGCCAGACGCAUUGCCCGGUAGCUAAGUUCGGAAUUGAUAAGCGCUGAAAGCAUCUAAGCGCGAAGCGAGCCCUGAGAUGAGUCUUCCCUGAUACUUUAAGUAUCCUAAAGGGUUGUUCGAGACUAGAACGUUGAUAGGCAGGGUGUGUAAGCGUUGUGAGGCGUUGAGCUAACCUGUACUAAUUGCCCGUGAGGCUUAACCAU